CAUUUUAAACAAUUCCUAAAAAAAUUAGCAAAAUAAGUUGAAUCUUAUGACUCAAUAAGUCUAAAUAAAGGUAGCGUUUGGUUUGGGUAUAAGUAAGAACUGGGUAUUACAGGAAUAGGUACAAAUAUGGGGAUAAAAAAAAAAAAAAAAUGUUUGGAUGAAAAUUGGAUUGUUCCCGGGAAUAAGAAAAAUAACGUUUGGAUAGAUAAUAUGGAAGAAGAAAAAUAGUGGAUAGUUAUAUAUAGAAAAUAGAGGUGUUGGUGGGGAUAAUUAUACCCGAUUAUUAUAGGUAACUGAGCAUUUGGGUAUAAAGGGGAUAAGUGGUUAUU
RNAcentral lists this long non-coding RNA (329 nucleotides) under Ananas comosus (pineapple). RNAcentral's name for it is "long non-coding RNA (ACOM_LNC031825)". Lineage: Eukaryota; Viridiplantae; Streptophyta; Magnoliopsida; Poales; Bromeliaceae. The record is from RNAcentral.